Molecule: ribosomal RNA, 253 nt
Filed under: uncultured bacterium
Lineage: Bacteria
Description: partial 16S ribosomal RNA
Rfam family: Bacterial small subunit ribosomal RNA
Source: RNAcentral
UACAGAGGGGGCAAGCGUUAUUCGGAAUUAUUGGGCGUAAAGGGCGCGUAGGCGGCUUGGCAAGUGGAUGGUGAAAUCCCUCGGCUUAACCGAGGAACUGCCAUCCAGACUGCUUUGCUUGAGGCCGGGAGAGGUAAGUGGAAUUCCCAGUGUAGCGGUGAAAUGCGUAGAUAUUGGGAGGAACACCAGUGGCGAAGGCGGGCUACUGGGCCGAUACUGACGCUGAUGCGCGAAAGCCAGGGGAGCGAACGGG